This is a non-coding RNA of Elaeis guineensis (African oil palm), 523 nucleotides long. Lineage: Eukaryota; Viridiplantae; Streptophyta; Magnoliopsida; Arecales; Arecaceae. The record is from RefSeq and is a predicted model, not a curated record.
UUUUUUUUUUAAAUUUAAUGAUUGAAUCAUUUAUUCUUAAAUUCAUUUUGUUACCUACUAAUUUGACUACUAACUGUACGGAGAAGAUGUGCCCGAAACAUUGUGAAUCGGGCGAGACAGACCGUAUCGCAUUGUGGGGGUUCGAGGUCGUUCCCUCGUCACAUAGAGCAGACGAGAAAUAUAGAGAAUGACGAGCUUCCUGAUAGAAUCGAUAUCUAUCAGCAGACCCACCAAUGUGAUCAAGGGAGUGGAUGAUGAAGAGCCAGGAGUUUUUUCUUACGAUUCUCAGCUAAUGGAGGUGCAGAGAUAAGCUGAACAGCGAGCUAAUGAGUUGACUGCAUACGUCGAUGAGUACCAGCAGCUUCAGAUCCAAAUAAUGGAACAGAUAGCACAGAUAGAACAGAUGAUACAGUUGAUGAGGCAGCAGUAGAUCGAUCUAAGCUCAUCCGAGCAUUUUCUUUCUCCAGCCCAUUCUCCUUCUGCAGAUAUCGACACUUGACGGUCUAUUUGUGUAGUUUUUUAG